RNAcentral lists this transfer RNA (72 nucleotides) under Camelus bactrianus (Bactrian camel). It matches the Rfam family "tRNA". Rfam says of the family: Transfer RNA (tRNA) molecules are approximately 80 nucleotides in length. Their secondary structure includes four short double-helical elements and three loops (D, anti-codon, and T loops). RNAcentral also lists the same sequence under 2 other names. The record is from Rfam by way of RNAcentral. Lineage: Eukaryota; Metazoa; Chordata; Mammalia; Artiodactyla; Camelidae.
AGGGAUAUAGCUCAGUAGUAGACCACGUGCUUAGCACACACGAAGACUGGGGUUCAAACCCCAGUACCUUUG